Molecule: ribosomal RNA, 492 nt
Filed under: uncultured bacterium
Lineage: Bacteria
Description: partial 16S ribosomal RNA
Rfam family: Bacterial small subunit ribosomal RNA
Source: RNAcentral
AGUGAACGCUGGCGGUAGGCCUAACACAUGCAAGUCGAACGGCAGCACAGUAAGAGCUUGCUCUUACGGGUGGCGAGUGGCGGACGGGUGAGGAAUACAUCGGAAUCUACUUUUUCGUGGGGGAUAACGUAGGGAAACUUACGCUAAUACCGCAUACGACAUACGGGUGAAAGCAGGGGAUCUUCGGACCUUGCGCGAUUGUAUGAGCCGAUGUCGGAUUAGCUAGUUGGCGGGGUAAAGGCCCACCAAGGCGACGAUCCGUAGCUGGUCUGAGAGGAUGAUCAGCCACACUGGAACUGAGACACGGUCCAGACUCCUACGGGAGGCAGCAGUGGGGAAUAUUGGACAAUGGGCGCAAGCCUGAUCCAGCCAUACCGCGUGGGUGAAGAAGGCCUUCGGGUUGUAAAGCCCUUUUGUUGGGAAAGAAAAGCAGCAGGUUAAUACCCCGCUGUUCUGACGGUACCCAAAGAAUAAGCACCGGCUAACUUCGUG